UGGCCACCAUGAGCUGCGUUGUUGGGGUUC
Molecule: non-coding RNA, 30 nt
Filed under: Homo sapiens (human)
Lineage: Eukaryota; Metazoa; Chordata; Mammalia; Primates; Hominidae
Source: RNAcentral